Molecule: non-coding RNA, 706 nt
Organism: Nelumbo nucifera (sacred lotus)
Lineage: Eukaryota; Viridiplantae; Streptophyta; Magnoliopsida; Proteales; Nelumbonaceae
Source: RefSeq, a predicted model, not a curated record
AAGGAAAAAGAAACGGUGGUUUAUCAAACCCUGUUGGAGCUUUUCUUUGAGAGGCCAUCGGUGAUUGGAGCUGUUCAAGGCAUGAUAACCGGCCUUAUUUGCAUCACUCCGGGAGCAGGUAGGUCUUUGUAUGAUCGUAGUUACGAGGGUUGACCAUGGACAAUUUUGUUGGUACUGUGCAUGCAGGGGCGGUGCAAUCGUGGGCGGCGAUAGUGAUGGACUGAUGGGUAUAAUGCCAGCAGCGUUCCAUGGUCUACAGGAAGUCUUUGUUCCUACAGAAGGUGGAUGAUACGCUUGGGGUAUUCCACACGCACGCAGUGGCGGAGCUGUUAGGCGGAGUACUGAGGGGCUAUUGGCGGAGCCGGUCCUUUGCCGGCUCAUCUUACCGGUGGGGAAGGAGGGGUACAGUUACUGAAGCAAUUGGGUACAGUCACCAGAGUUGUUAACUCCGCCUUCGAAUUGAGAGAAUCUCUGCCAUCGGGAUUGGUUGGAGAAGGUAUUGAAGCGAAGAGGAAAACCACUAAGUUUGAUGGGAUGCAAAAAAAUGGAAACCGAAAUUUUAAACAGCUCCUGACUGGUUUUUUUCUGCAGUUUUUUUAAGUGAAAUUUUGAAGGGAAGACGAGAGAUAUUGUUAACUCCGCCUUCAUAUCUCUGCCGUUUUUUUUUUUUUUUACAGAGUAUGCAAAAAAUUUAUAGGAUUUAAAC